GAAACACAGGAAGUCAAGAAGUAACCGUCAUAGGGAUAGAAGCCCGGAAACUUCUCCGGAAGAAGAAAGUUCCUAGAAGAACACUGUACAUUUCUGAAAAGCAUCAGAGGGAGACAAUAAAAGAAGAUGAAGAUCAAAGACAGAUGUGGUCAUGGAUACCUACAUCCCUGCACUGGGAAGAGCCAGGAGGAUCUAGAAUUCCAGUGUACAUAGCAAGUUUGAGGUCAACCUGCACCACAUAAGACCCUGUCUCAAACAGCUGUAAAAACAAAAGACUAUUAAAGUCACAUCUCUUCAAAAAUUA
Mesocricetus auratus (golden hamster) is the source of this 304-nucleotide long non-coding RNA. RefSeq lists it as uncharacterized. Lineage: Eukaryota; Metazoa; Chordata; Mammalia; Rodentia; Cricetidae. The transcript has 2 exons. The record is from RefSeq and is a predicted model, not a curated record.